UGUCACAGUACAAAGGAUGACGAUCAAAAAUGAGUUAUACGAUACAGAGAAGAUUAGCAUGGCCCCUGCGCAAGGAUGGCACGCAAAUUCGUGAAGCGUUCCAUAUUUUU
Balaenoptera ricei (Rice's whale) is the source of this 110-nucleotide small nuclear RNA. Lineage: Eukaryota; Metazoa; Chordata; Mammalia; Artiodactyla; Balaenopteridae. The record is from RefSeq and is a predicted model, not a curated record.